Molecule: ribosomal RNA, 498 nt
Filed under: uncultured bacterium
Lineage: Bacteria
Description: bacterial SSU rRNA
Rfam family: Bacterial small subunit ribosomal RNA
Source: RNAcentral
AAAGGAAUUGACGGGGGUCCGCACAAGCGGAGGAGCAUGUGGUUUAAUUCGAUGAUACGCGAGGAACCUUACCUGGGCUAGAAUGUUAGUGAUAGAACUUGAAAGGGUUUUUUGGUAGCAAUACUACACGAAACAAGGUGCUGCAUGGCUGUCGUCAGCUCGUGCCGUGAGGUGUUGGGUUAAGUCCCGCAACGAGCGCAACCCUUAUCAUUAGUUGCCAGCGAGUAAUGUCGGGAACUCUAAUGAGACUGCCUACGCAAGUAGAGAGGAAGGUGGGGACGACGUCAAGUCAUCAUGGCCUUUAUGCCCAGGGCUACACACGUGCUACAAUGGCGCGGACAAAGAGUUGCAAGCUGGUGACAGCAAGCUAAUCUCAAAAACCGCGUCUCAGUUCGGAUUGCAGGCUGCAACUCGCCUGCAUGAAGCUGGAUUCGCUAGUAAUCGCAAAUCAGCAAUGUUGCGGUGAAUACGUUCCCGGACCUUGUACACACCGCCCGU